RNAcentral lists this ribosomal RNA (835 nucleotides) under Micromonospora sp. IM-6856. RNAcentral's name for it is "bacterial SSU rRNA". It matches the Rfam family "Bacterial small subunit ribosomal RNA", at positions 38 to 889 of the family's 1533-position model. Lineage: Bacteria; Bacillati; Actinomycetota; Actinomycetes; Micromonosporales; Micromonosporaceae. The record is from RNAcentral.
GGCGGCGUGCUUAACACAUGCAAGUCGAGCGGAAAGGCCCUUCGGGGUACUCGAGCGGCGAACGGGUGAGUAACACGUGAGCAACCUGCCCUAGGCUUUGGGAUAACCCCGGGAAACCGGGGCUAAUACCGAAUAUGACCUUUCCUCGCAUGAGGAAAGGUGGAAAGUUUUUCGGCCUGGGAUGGGCUCGCGGCCUAUCAGCUUGUUGGUGGGGUGAUGGCCUACCAAGGCGACGACGGGUAGCCGGCCUGAGAGGGCGACCGGCCACACUGGGACUGAGACACGGCCCAGACUCCUACGGGAGGCAGCAGUGGGGAAUAUUGCACAAUGGGCGGAAGCCUGAUGCAGCGACGCCGCGUGAGGGAUGACGGCCUUCGGGUUGUAAACCUCUUUCAGCAGGGACGAAGCGUAAGUGACGGUACCUGCAGAAGAAGCGCCGGCCAACUACGUGCCAGCAGCCGCGGUAAGACGUAGGGCGCGAGCGUUGUCCGGAUUUAUUGGGCGUAAAGAGCUCGUAGGCGGCUUGUCGCGUCGACUGUGAAAACCCGCAGCUCAACUGCGGGCCUGCAGUCGAUACGGGCAGGCUAGAGUUCGGUAGGGGAGACUGGAAUUCCUGGUGUAGCGGUGAAAUGCGCAGAUAUCAGGAGGAACACCGGUGGCGAAGGCGGGUCUCUGGGCCGAUACUGACGCUGAGGAGCGAAAGCGUGGGGAGCGAACAGGAUUAGAUACCCUGGUAGUCCACGCUGUAAACGUUGGGCGCUAGGUGUGGGGGGCCUCUCCGGUUCCCUGUGCCGCAGCUAACGCAUUAAGCGCCCCGCCUGGGGAGUACGGCCGC